Molecule: ribosomal RNA, 1483 nt
Filed under: uncultured Bordetella sp.
Lineage: Bacteria; Pseudomonadati; Pseudomonadota; Betaproteobacteria; Burkholderiales; Alcaligenaceae
Description: partial 16S-23S ribosomal RNA intergenic spacer
Rfam family: Bacterial small subunit ribosomal RNA
Source: RNAcentral
GGUUUGAUUCUGGCUCAGAUUGAACGCUGGCGGGAUGCUUUAUACACAUGCAAGUCGAACGGCAGCACGGACUUCGGUCUGGUGGCGAGUGGCGAACGGGUGAGUAAUGUAUCGGAACGUGCCUAGUAGCGGGGGAUAACUGCAGCGGGGAAAGCUUUAAUACCGCAUACGCCCUUCGGGGGAAAAGCGGGGGACCUCGGGCCUCGCACUAUUAGAGCGGCCGAUAGGAUUAGCUAGUUGGCGGGGUAACGGCUCACCAAGGCGACGAUCCGUAGCUGGUUUGAGAGGACGACAUUUACGCCACACUGGGACUGGAGACAUUUGUCAGACUCUACGGAGGGCAGGCAGUGGGGAAUUUUGGACAGCUGGGGAAACCCUGAUCCAGCCAUCCCGCGUAAAAGGCGAGCAGUAUUUUCGCUGGGUUGUAAAGCACUUUUUGGCAGGAAAGAAACGGCACGGAUAAUUACCCCGUGCAACUGACGGUACCUGCAGAAUAAGCACCGAAGCAAUCACAAACAGCAAGAGCCAUGUAAUACGUAGGGUGCAAGCGGCACUGAAUUACUGGCGGCGUGUGCAGGCGGUUCGGAAAGAAAGAUGUGAAAUCCCAGAGCUUAACUUUGGAACUGAUAUUUUGAAUCACUGAGUGAGUGUGUCAGAGGGAGGUGGAAUUCCGCGUGUAGCAGUGAAAUGCGUAGAUAUGCGGAGGAACACCGAUGGCGAAGGCAGCCUCCUGGGAUAACACUGACGCUCAUGCACGAAAGCGUGGGGAGCAAACAGGAUUAGAUAACUAUGUAGUCCACGCCCUAAAACGAUGUCAACUAGCUGUUGGGGCCUUCGGGCCUUGGUAGCGCAGCUAUUGCAGUGAAGUUGACCGCCUGGGGAGUACGGUCGCAAGAUUAAAAACUGGGCGAAUGAUGGGACUGCAGCAAGCGGAUGAGCGUGGGAUUGAUCGAUAAAACGCGAAAAACCUUACCUACCCUUGACAUGUCUUAAACCCAGAGAUUUGAGUGUUUUGCAAGAGAACCGAACACAGGUGCUGCAUGGCUGCUGCGCUUAAGCCAAUGCGGGAGAUGGGUUAAGUCCCGCAACGAGCGCAACCCUUGUCAUUAGACACAUGAAAGGGCACUUAAUGAGAGACUGCCGGUGAUAUAAACCGGAGGAAGGUGGGGAUGAGCCGCCAAGUCCUUUGCGGCUCUGUGGUAGGGCUUCACACGUCAUACAAUGGUCGGGACAGAGGUCGCCAACCUGCGAGGGGAGCCAAUCCCAGAAACCCGAUUGAACCGGAUCGCAGUCUGCAACCUGGACUGCGGUUAACCUGCCGGUGAAUGCGGAUCAGCAUGUCGCGGUGAAUACGUUCCCGGGUCUUGUACACACCGCCCGUCACACCAUGGGAGUGGGUUUUACCAGGAAGUGAAGUAGCCCAACUGUAAGGAGGGCGAUUACCACGGUAGGAUUCAUGACUGGGGUAGUCGUAACAAGGUAA